RNAcentral lists this ribosomal RNA (253 nucleotides) under uncultured bacterium. RNAcentral describes it as "partial 16S ribosomal RNA". It matches the Rfam family "Bacterial small subunit ribosomal RNA", at positions 524 to 776 of the family's 1533-position model. The record is from RNAcentral.
UACGUAGGGCGCAAGCGUUGUCCGGAAUUAUUGGGCGUAAAGAGCUCGUAGGCGGCUUGUCGCGUCGGAUGUGAAAGCCCGGGGCUUAACUCCGGGUCUGCAUUCGAUACGGGCAGGCUAGAGUUCGGUAGGGGAGAUCGGAAUUCCUGGUGUAGCGGUGAAAUGCGCAGAUAUCAGGAGGAACACCAAUGGCGAAGGCAGCUCACUGGGACGAUACUGACGCUGAGACGCGAAAGCGUGGGGAGCAAACAGG